CCGAGUUUACAACUCCCAAACCCAAUGUGAACCAUACCAAACUGUUGCCUCGGCGGGGUCACGCCCCGGGUGCGUCGCAGCCCCGGAACCAGGCGCCCGCCGGAGGGACCAACCAAACUCUUUCUGUAGUCCCCUCGCGGACGUUAUUUCUUACAGCUCUGAGCAGAAAUUCAAAAUGAAUCA
Molecule: unclassified non-coding RNA, 183 nt
Filed under: soil metagenome
Description: partial internal transcribed spacer 1
Source: RNAcentral